GGGGUUGUGGCUCAGAGGCAGAGUGCUUUCCUAGCAUGUGAGAGGCACUGGGUUCCAUCCUCAGCACCACA
This 71-nucleotide transfer RNA is filed under the name Marmota monax (woodchuck). RNAcentral's name for it is "tRNA.Ala". The record is from RNAcentral. Lineage: Eukaryota; Metazoa; Chordata; Mammalia; Rodentia; Sciuridae.